This 1126-nucleotide ribosomal RNA is filed under the name Jahnula appendiculata. RNAcentral's name for it is "bacterial SSU rRNA". It matches the Rfam family "Eukaryotic small subunit ribosomal RNA", at positions 16 to 1152 of the family's 1831-position model. The record is from RNAcentral. Lineage: Eukaryota; Fungi; Ascomycota; Dothideomycetes; Jahnulales; Aliquandostipitaceae.
CCGUGUAGUCAUAUGCUUGUCUCAAAGAUUAAGCCAUGCAAGUCUAAGUAUAAGCAAAACUAAUGCAAAACUGCGAAUGGCUCAUUAAAUCAGUUAUCGUUUAUUUGAUAGUACCUUACUACACGGAUAUCUGUGGUAAUUCUAGAGUUAAUACGUGCUAAAAACCCCGACUUCGGGAGGGGUGUAUUUAUUAGACUAAAAACCAACGCCCUUCGGGGCUCCUUGGUGAUUCAUAAUAACUCAACGAAUCGCAUGGCCUUGAGCCGGCGAUGGUUCAUUCAAAUUUCUGCCCUAUCAACUUUCGAUGCUAGGGUAGUGGCCUAGCAUGGUGACAACGGGUAACGGGGGAUUAGGGUUCUAUUCCGGAGAGGGAGCCCGAGAAACGGCUACCACAUCCAAGGAAGGCAGCAGGCGCGCAAAUUACCCAAUCCCGACACGGGGAGGUAGUGACAAUAAAUACUGAUACAGGGCUCUUUUGGGUCUUGUAAUUGGAAUGAGUACGAUUUAAAUACCCUAACGAGGAACAAUUGGAGGGCAAGUCUGGUGCCAGCAGCCGCGGUAAUUCCAGCUCCAAUAGCGUAUAUUAAAGUUGUUGCAGUUAAAACGCUCGUCGUUGAACCUUGGGCCUGGGCGAUCGGUCCCCCUCACCGGGAGCACUGGUUCGGCCGGGCCUUUCCUUCUGGGGAUCCGCAUGCCCUUCGCUGGGCGUGUCGGGGAACCAGGACUUUUACUUUGAAAAAAUUAGAGUGUUCAAAGCAGGCCUUUGCUCGAAUACCUUAGCAUGGAAUAAUAGAAUAGGACGUGCGGUCCUAUUUUGUUGGUUUCUAGGACCGCCGUAAUGAUUAAUAGGGUCAGUCGGGGGCAUCAGUAUUCAAUUGUCAGAGGUGAAAUUCUUAGAUUUAUUGAAGACUAACUACUGCGAAAGCAUUUGCCAAGGAUGUUUUCAUUAAUCAGUGAACGAAAGUUAGGGGAUCGAAGACGAUCAGAUACCGUCGUAGUCCUAACCAUAAACUAUGCCGACUAGGGAUCGGGGUAUACUCAUUUUUGGUUGCCUCGGCACCUUACGAGAAAUCAAAGUGUUUGGGUUCUGGGGGGAGUAUAGUCGCAAGGCCGAAACUUAAAGGAA